AGUCUUCGGAUUUAGAGACCGGCGCACGGGUGCGUAACGCGUAUGCAAUCUACCUUUUACAGAGGGAUAGCCCAGAGAAAUUUGGAUUAAUACCUCAUAGUAUUAUGAAAUGGCAUCAUUUUAUAAUUAAAGUCACAACGGUAAAAGAUGAGCAUGCGUCCCAUUAGCUAGUUGGUAAGGUAACGGCUUACCAAGGCUACGAUGGGUAGGGGUCCUGAGAGGGAGAUCCCCCACACUGGUACUGAGACACGGACCAGACUCCUACGGGAGGCAGCAGUGAGGAAUAUUGGACAAUGGGCGCAAGCCUGAUCCAGCCAUGCCGCGUGCAGGAUGACGGUCCUAUGGAUUGUAAACUGCUUUUGUACGAGAAGAAACACUCCUAUGUAUAGGAGCUUGACGGUAUCGUAAGAAUAAGGAUCGGCUAACUCCGUGCCAGCAGCCGCGGUAAUACGGAGGAUCCAAGCGUUAUCCGGAAUCAUUGGGUUUAAAGGGUCCGUAGGCGGUUUAAUAAGUCAGUGGUGAAAGCCCAUCGCUCAACGGUGGAACGGCCAUUGAUACUGUUAAACUUGAAUUAUUAGGAAGUAACUAGAAUAUGUAGUGUAGCGGUGAAAUGCUUAGAGAUUACAUGGAAUACCAAUUGCGAAGGCAGGUUACUACUAAUGGAUUGACGCUGAUGGACGAAAGCGUGGGUAGCGAACAGGAUUAGAUACCCUGGUAGUCCACGCCGUAAACGAUGGAUACUAGCUGUUGGAAGCAAUUUCAGUGGCUAAGCGAAAGUGAUAAGUAUCCCACCUGGGGAGUACGUUCGCAAGAAUGAAACUCAAAGGAAUUGACGGGGGCCCGCACAAGCGGUGGAGCAUGUGGUUUAAUUCGAUGAUACGCGAGGAACCUUACCAAGGCUUAAAUGUA
RNAcentral lists this ribosomal RNA (909 nucleotides) under Flavobacterium sp. CB 286365. Its description in RNAcentral is "bacterial SSU rRNA". It matches the Rfam family "Bacterial small subunit ribosomal RNA", at positions 75 to 989 of the family's 1533-position model. The record is from RNAcentral. Lineage: Bacteria; Pseudomonadati; Bacteroidota; Flavobacteriia; Flavobacteriales; Flavobacteriaceae.